AUUGAACGCUGGCGGCAUGCUUUACACAUGCAAGUCGAACGGUAACAGGCCGCAAGGUGCUGACGAGUGGCGAACGGGUGAGUAAUGCAUCGGAACGUGCCCAGUCGUGGGGGAUAACUACUCGAAAGAGUAGCUAAUACCGCAUACGAUCUAUGGAUGAAAGCGGGGGACCGUAAGGCCUCGCGCGAUUGGAGCGGCCGAUGUCAGAUUAGGUAGUUGGUGGGGUAAAGGCUCACCAAGCCAACGAUCUGUAGCUGGUCUGAGAGGGCGACCAGCCACACUGGGACUGAGACACGGCCCAGACUCCUACGGGAGGCAGCAGUGGGGAAUUUUGGACAAUGGACGCAAGCCUGAUCCAGCAAUGCCGCGUGCAGGAAGAAGGCCUUCGGGUUGUAAACUGCUUUUGUACGGAACGAAACGGCUCUGGUUAAUACCCGGGGCUAAUGACGGUACCGUAAGAAUAAGCACCGGCUAACUACGUG
RNAcentral lists this ribosomal RNA (482 nucleotides) under uncultured bacterium. RNAcentral describes it as "partial 16S ribosomal RNA". It matches the Rfam family "Bacterial small subunit ribosomal RNA", at positions 30 to 507 of the family's 1533-position model. The record is from RNAcentral.